Molecule: long non-coding RNA, 318 nt
Filed under: Helianthus annuus (common sunflower)
Lineage: Eukaryota; Viridiplantae; Streptophyta; Magnoliopsida; Asterales; Asteraceae
Description: sRNA HanXRQr2_Chr01g0042901
Source: RNAcentral
AUGACCCGUCUAUGUAUCACCUCUGUUUCUAUUUAUCAUCUCCAUCUGCCUUUUAAACCUCAGAUUCAAUUGCUGAUUUAAGGUUACAACGAUUUGUGCUGUUUAAAAUAGGCCUGCAAGUUAGCGGGUUCUUAUUAACUUUCAAGAAAAUAUAAUACACAGCAGUUAACAACUCCCAGACGAAGCUAGAGAGCUCGAGAAAGAACUCAGGCAGAUAACAAAAGCAAAGAACGAAGCUGUUUGUGGCCAAGAUUUCGAAAGGUACUGUGCUUGUUCUUGUGAAUUUUAUAGAUGUGACAACUUGACCCAUUUACUUUU